This 1339-nucleotide ribosomal RNA is filed under the name Escherichia coli. Its description in RNAcentral is "partial 23S ribosomal RNA". It matches the Rfam family "Bacterial large subunit ribosomal RNA", at positions 391 to 1734 of the family's 2925-position model. The record is from RNAcentral. Lineage: Bacteria; Pseudomonadati; Pseudomonadota; Gammaproteobacteria; Enterobacterales; Enterobacteriaceae.
UCUCUCUUGAGUGGAUCCUGAGUACGACGGAGCACGUGAAAUUCCGUCGGAAUCUGGGAGGACCAUCUCCUAAGGCUAAAUACUCUCUAGUGACCGAUAGUGAACCAGUACCGUGAGGGAAAGGUGAAAAGUACCCCGGAAGGGGAGUGAAAGAGAACUUGAAACCGUGUGCUUACAAGUAGUCAGAGCCCGUUAAUGGGUGAUGGCGUGCCUUUUGUAGAAUGAACCGGCGAGUUACGAUUUGAUGCAAGGUUAAGCAGUAAAUGUGGAGCCGUAGCGAAAGCGAGUCUGAAUAGGGCGUUUAGUAUUUGGUCGUAGACCCGAAACCAGGUGAUCUACCCUUGGUCAGGUUGAAGUUCAGGUAACACUGAAUGGAGGACCGAACCGACUUACGUUGAAAAGUGAGCGGAUGAACUGAGGGUAGCGGAGAAAUUCCAAUCGAACUUGGAGAUAGCUGGUUCUCUCCGAAAUAGCUUUAGGGCUAGCCUCAAGUGAUGAUUAUUGGAGGUAGAGCACUGUUUGGACGAGGGGCCCCUCUCGGGUUACCGAAUUCAGACAAACUCCGAAUGCCAAUUAAUUUAACUUGGGAGUCAGAACAUGGGUGAUAAGGUCCGUGUUCGAAAGGGAAACAGCCCAGACCACCAGCUAAGGUCCCAAAAUAUAUGUUAAGUGGAAAAGGAUGUGGCGUUGCCCAGACAACUAGGAUGUUGGCUUAGAAGCAGCCAUCAUUUAAAGAGUGCGUAAUAGCUCACUAGUCGAGUGACACUGCGCCGAAAAUGUACCGGGGCUAAACAUAUUACCGAAGCUGUGGAUUGUCCUUUGGACAAUGGUAGGAGAGCGUUCUAAGGGCGUUGAAGCAUGAUCGUAAGGACAUGUGGAGCGCUUAGAAGUGAGAAUGCCGGUGUGAGUAGCGAAAGACGGGUGAGAAUCCCGUCCACCGAUUGACUAAGGUUUCCAGAGGAAGGCUCGUCCGCUCUGGGUUAGUCGGGUCCUAAGCUGAGGCCGACAGGCGUAGGCGAUGGAUAACAGGUUGAUAUUCCUGUACCACCUAUAAUCGUUUUAAUCGAUGGGGGGACGCAGUAGGAUAGGCGAAGCGUGCGAUUGGAUUGCACGUCUAAGCAGUAAGGCUGAGUAUUAGGCAAAUCCGGUACUCGUUAAGGCUGAGCUGUGAUGGGGAGAAGACAUUGUGUCUUCGAGUCGUUGAUUUCACACUGCCGAGAAAAGCCUCUAGAUAGAAAAUAGGUGCCCGUACCGCAAACCGACACAGGUAGUCAAGAUGAGAAUUCUAAGGUGAGCGAGCGAACUCUCGUUAAGGAACUCGGCAAAAUGACCCCGUAAC